GACGAACGCUGGCGGCGUGCUUAACACAUGCAAGUCGAACGGAAAGGCCCUGCUUGGGUGGGGUGCGCGAGGGGCAAACGGGUGAAAAACACGUGAGUAACCUGCCUGUGACUGUGGUAUAACUUCAGGAAAGUGGGGCUAAUACCGGAUAGGAGCUCCUGGUGCAGGGGGGGGGUGGGAAAGUUUCGGGGGUUGGGGAUGGACGCGGGGCUUAUCAGCUUGUGGGUGGGAGAGUGGCUUACCAAGGCUUUGGGGGGUCGCCGGCCUGAGGGGGUGACCGGCCACAUUGGGACUGGGAUACGGCCAAGACUCCUCCGGGAGGCAGCAGUGGGGAUUAUUGACCAAGGGGCGGAACCCGGAUGCACCACCGCCGCGUGGGGGAUGACGCCCUUCGGGUGUUAAACCGCUUUCGCCUGUGACGAAGCGUGAGUGACGGUAAUGGGUAAAGAAGCACCGGCUAACUACGUG
Molecule: ribosomal RNA, 468 nt
Filed under: uncultured bacterium
Lineage: Bacteria
Description: partial 16S ribosomal RNA
Rfam family: Bacterial small subunit ribosomal RNA
Source: RNAcentral